UGAAGCGGUGGCUCAAUGGUAGAGCUUUCGACUCCCAAUCGAAGGGUUGCAGGUUCAAUUCCUGUCCGUUUCAU
Non-coding RNA from Kluyveromyces marxianus DMKU3-1042, 74 nucleotides. The record is from the annotation of a RefSeq genome assembly. NCBI's taxonomy places the organism in Eukaryota, Fungi, Ascomycota, Saccharomycetes, Saccharomycetales, Saccharomycetaceae.